AGUAUAAACUGCUUAUACUGUGAAACUGCGAAUGGCUCAUUAAAUCAGUUAUAGUUUAUUUGAUGGUACCUCUACACGGAUAACCGUAGUAAUUCUAGGGCUAAUACGUGCGCAAAUCCCGACUUCUGGAAGGGACGUAUUUAUUAGAUAAAAGGCCGACCGGGCUCUGCCCGACCCGCGGUGAACCAUGAUAACUUCACGAAUCGCAUAGCCUUGUGCUGGCGAUGUUUCAUUCAAAUUUCUGCCCUAUCAACUUUCGAUGGUAGGAUAGAGGNCUACCAUGGUGGUAACGGGUGACGGAGGAUUAGGGUUCGAUUCCGGAGAGGGAGUCUGAGAAACUGCUACCACAUCCAAGGAAGGCAGCAGGCACGCAAAUUACCCAAUCCCAGAACUCUGGGGAGGUAGUGACGAAAAAUAACGAUGCGGGCGCUCCUUCUGGAGCCCCGCAAUCGGAAUGAGUAUGUCUUAAAUAACCUGUCGAGAACCCACUGAAGGGCAAGUCUGGUGCCAGCAGCCGCGGUAAUUCCAGCUUCAGUAGCAUCUAUUAAAGUUGCUGCGGUUAAAAGGCUCGCAGUUGGAGCCACUGGUGUUUGGUAUAUGGAGCAGCUGGACGUUGGGUACCUCGUGUCCCCGUCCUGUUGUCUGCUCCUGACUCUAUGGCACUGAAUAUGGGAAAGCCUCGCGCGGCUUGGGCGAUUUGCUCAGAGGUGUUGGUGUUGGACGUUUUGAGGGUUUAUCUCUCUUUUCGUUUCAAGCCCCCUCUGUGUCCUUGCUUGCGCGGGGUGGCUCCUGUGUCACCUUGAGUAAAUCAUGGUGCUCACAGCAGUCGUGCGGGCCUCGUGCCCUGUGAACAGUCUUUGCGGACUGAAUUGGUUUUGCAAGGCAUGACGAAACAUGACGUCGCUGCUGGUCGCGGGCGGAGGAAGAUUUGUGUGCUCCGGCGCGCAUUCUCUCUUACCGGUGUGUUUAUGCCAGCAGCGACGUAAUGAUCAAUGGAGACGGUAGCUGGCAUUGGUAUUGCGCGGCGAGAGGUGAAAUUCUGCGACCCCCGCAAGACCUCCUAAAGCGAAGGCGUCUGCCAAGGACGUGUUCACCAAUCAUGAACGAAAGUCAGAGGAUCGAAGGCGAUCAGAUACCGCCCUAGUUCUGACCCUAAACGAUGCCAACCAUCAAUCCGCGUGAGCACCCUAUCUAACGGGCUCGGCGGGCAGCUCCCCACUACCGGGAAACCAGAGUUUAUGGGUUCCGGGGGGAGUCUGGUUGCAAAGCUGAAACUUAAAGGAAUUGACGGAAAGGCACCACCAGGCGUGGAGCCUGCGGCUUAAUUUGACUCAACACGGGCCAUCUUACCAGGCCAGCACUCUGGCAUGAUUGACAGAUUGAGAGCUCUUUCUCGAUUCAGUGGACGGUGGUGCAUGGNCGUUCUUAUCUGNUGGGCUGCCNUGCNNNGACNAUUCCGGUGACGAACGAGACCUNAGCUUACUAAAUAGUCACGUUCGCUUCUUGCNGAUGGCCGACUUCNUANAGGGACUAUUGAUGUUUAAUCCAUGGANCUAUGAGGCAAUAACAGGUCUGUGAUGCCCUUAUAUGUUCUGGGCCGCACUNGCGCUACACUGACGCAUUCAACAAGCCUAUCNUUA
This 1640-nucleotide ribosomal RNA is filed under the name Hyalella azteca. RNAcentral describes it as "bacterial SSU rRNA". It matches the Rfam family "Eukaryotic small subunit ribosomal RNA", at positions 62 to 1529 of the family's 1831-position model. Lineage: Eukaryota; Metazoa; Arthropoda; Malacostraca; Amphipoda; Hyalellidae. The record is from RNAcentral.